UAAAAGCAGUAAAUAGCUUU
This 20-nucleotide non-coding RNA is filed under the name Arabidopsis thaliana (thale cress). The record is from RNAcentral. Lineage: Eukaryota; Viridiplantae; Streptophyta; Magnoliopsida; Brassicales; Brassicaceae.